UGCAGGCAUGAAUGGGACAGCUAUUGAAAAUUUCAUCUGUGUUAUUUAUAAUGUUUCCUUCAUGAAUUGCACUUGGCAUGUAGGCAGGACUGUUCCAGCAGAUACCCAAUAUUUUCUGUACUGGAAGAGCUCCAGAAAAGCUCACCCCUCCUUUAAAUGUCACUGUGAACUGUACUGGAGUUUCUAAUGGUUGUGAAAUUCAGUGGCAACCACCUCGCACAAGCCAUGUUAAAAGGGAUGCUUGCUUCAAAUAUGAAAUUGUCAUAGAAAACACGGCGGAUCCUGAGAAAAGCACCAAAGAUACAUCUAAAACAAAAAACGACAUCAGAGGAAGAUCAUACAUAUUUCAAAACUUCAAUGCAGAAAAAAGAUACAUUGUCAAAAUCAGAGCAACUGACAGUGGUUGUUUAGUGAGCACAAACUGGGGGGAAUGGAGUACGCCUGUUGAGUUUGGAAGAGCACACCUUAAGUCCACUUCAGGAUAUACUCUAUUUCUGCUAUCAGUGACAACAGCAAGUCUCAUAUUUUUUCUCUGCAUAGUUCUUUUCCUCACUACCCCUUUUUGCUGCUCUAGAACUUGUUUGAAAACAACAUCUGCUCCAAUACCACAGCCGAAAGACCCAUUCCAUGAGAUCUCUCCUAUGCAUUUCCAGACAGAAUAUGAGAAUCAAUUAAUAGAGCAUGAAACUGAAGAAAUAAUAACAACGAUUGAAGAAAUGGCAUAAUGGCAUGCAAGUGCAAUGAGCAGUUUGAAUUUUUACCCACACAUAUAUUUUGUUUCUUUAUCUUGUGGGCAGAAAUAACAGUGUUACCUGUAGAGGCAGUUUCCCAAGAACCUAUCUUUAAAAACUUCUUUGUAUUUGCUUCCAUUUUCCACAAAUAAUUUGAGUUGUUUUGACUCUUGUUUCUUCUUAUGAUUACUAUUCUUGCAAUGUUUCAGAAAAAUAUUUCAGUAGUGCUUGGAAGCUAUUGCUGGACAAAUGUGCGCUGCUUUUAUACACCAUGCAAAAGAAUAAAAUAAAAACACCUGAAUUUAAGGUUCUCA
RNAcentral lists this long non-coding RNA (1045 nucleotides) under Dromaius novaehollandiae (emu). RNAcentral describes it as "lncRNA (ENSDNVG00000016968.1)". The record is from RNAcentral. Lineage: Eukaryota; Metazoa; Chordata; Aves; Casuariiformes; Dromaiidae.